This 494-nucleotide ribosomal RNA is filed under the name uncultured bacterium. RNAcentral describes it as "partial 16S ribosomal RNA". It matches the Rfam family "Bacterial small subunit ribosomal RNA", at positions 28 to 506 of the family's 1533-position model. The record is from RNAcentral.
GACGAACGCUGGCGGCGUGCCUAAUACAUGCAAGUAGAACGCUGAAGGAGGAGCUUGCUCUUCUGGAUGAGUUGCGAACGGGUGAGUAACGCGUAGGUAACCUGCCUGGUAGCGGGGGAUAACUAUUGGAAACGAUAGCUAAUACCGCAUAAGAGUAGAUGUUGCAUGACAUUUACUUAAAAGGUGCAAUUGCAUCACUACCAGAUGGACCUGCGUUGUAUUAGCUAGUUGGUGGGGUAACGGCUUACCAAGGCGACGAUACAUAGCCGACCUGAGAGGGUGAUCGGCCACACUGGGACUGAGACACGGCCCAGACUCCUACGGGAGGCAGCAGUAGGGAAUCUUCGGCAAUGGACGGAAGUCUGACCGAGCAACGCCGCGUGAGUGAAGAAGGUUUUCGGAUCGCAAAGCUCUGUUGUAAGAGAAGAACGAGUGUGAGAGUGGAAAGUUCACACUGUGACGGUAUCUUACCAGAAAGGGACGGCUAACUACGU